This is a long non-coding RNA of Bubalus bubalis (water buffalo), 3858 nucleotides long. RefSeq lists it as uncharacterized. The transcript has 2 exons. NCBI's taxonomy places the organism in Eukaryota, Metazoa, Chordata, Mammalia, Artiodactyla, Bovidae. The record is from RefSeq and is a predicted model, not a curated record.
CAGAGGUCUUCCCACUGCCCCAGCGGACCCUGUGCCCUUGCUCCCCGGCCAGAUGGGCCGGAUCAGGCUGGAUUGACCCGGUUCUGCAGACGCUGAGUAGUUUUCUUGUCCCCUGAUUUAUGUCUGUCUGCGCUUGCCGCCCCUCGCCCUCCCAGCUCCCCAGCCCAACCCCACUCCGGCCCUAGCGCACCCAGUCAUCCUAGAGCCAGACUCUGAGGUGGGGGGACCUGCACCCUCACGUGACCGAGGUGAUGCUUCAGGAGAAGUUCAGCCCUUCUGGGCCCAUCCUCUCCAUGCGGGUCUGCGGACUCCCUGUGUGUUACCUUCCAGCAGCCAGAAGGAGAGGAGUAAUUCCAUCCUCCCUCCACAAAACUGGGAUGGUGUUACUGAAGAAGAUGAAUGGGUGCUGGCUUUCCCGCUCCUGCAAGGGUCUGUACCCCUGGAAGAUGCUACUCUGACCUCCUUGAGAAAUGCUCCCACUAAGGGGGACGGAUGCCCAAGAGAACAGACGGGGGGCUUCUCGCUGGGCCACGGGUGGUCCAGCUGGAAGAAAACUUCGAGCACAGGGAAGGCUGGAAUUGCAUUCUAUUUAUUAUUUUCUGGGCUCGUCUUCAUAAGGCAUUUUUGCCUGAGCCACAGGCUUCAUAGCAAAGGCAAUAAAAGUGGGUAAAAUGCUGAUGUAAUGUAACAAUGUUGGGAUGAUGAUGUCAUCUGCGGUAAACAAGAAUAGCUAUUGAGUCAUAAAUAAUCUUUUUAUGGCGAUCUUGAAUAGGUCUGAUACCAGAUGCACAGUACAUAACACUCACUUUAUGGAAAUGCCUUUCCUUUGAAAAGAAGGGAUAACGGUCAGUAAUAUAUAAAGGUCCUUGUGUGCUGCUCACAUGGGCUUUAUUUUGUGCUUUCUGUGUGAUUUGUUUAAUGAUUCCUCAGUCACCUAAAUAGAACAGGCCUCGCUAUGCACUCCCUGGUUUUGUGUUAGUGGGCCAGAUGCCCAAAUCUGAACUGAGUCUGAGCUGCCUAGUCUCUGAAUGAAGUGUGUCGCCUCCAAAAUCCAGUUUCCUUUCUUGGACCUGUGAUGUUGAAGAGAGCUAGAAUUUUCUGUCACUGCACAUCUUGGGCUUUUUGUCUUUUAAAUUUUGAAGGCAGAAUAUAACAGACUUUGGUUCAUGCCACUGUCUAAGCAGGCUAAGACCUCCACAGUCCCCUCCAGAAGUGAGUCCUCCUCACCCUGUUCCUCGAUGUCCCCAUGCAAGGUAGCUACCCUCCCCAAGUCUGUUCAUGAGGCCCUUGCUUUCCCUGUUUACACAUUGUUAUCUCAUUGAUACAUAUUCUAGGAAAAUAUGCUUUAUUUGUUGUUUUUAACUCUAUACAAUUAAACUGGUUGGGAGCUAGGGCAACACUCAUUAUAGUAUUCUUUAUUCCUUUUUGAAUGUCGUCAAUAUUUGAUACAUCUUAAGAUGGAAAACAAAAUUUGCAGAUUCUUUUUAAAUUGUUUUUUAAAAUGUGUCUGUGAUCCAUGAAAGAGAAAUGUCAGCUUUGAAAGUUAAUGUUCAUGAAUAUCUGGGGACAAACUUUUUUUUUUUUUCAAGAUGGCAUCAUGUGGGGAAAAUUUGGCUCAUUGUAAAAUCAGGAUUUCUUAGAAAAUCUGUAUAAACUCUAAUGGCCAGUGUAGGAAGAGCCCCCUAUAAAAAAAGCAGAAGGUUUGUCUUCCACAAAAUAAAUGAUCUGGCAUUAGAGAGAGAACCCAUAUCACUGUUUUGUUACCUGAGUGUUUCUCCCAUUUCUGUUUUUCCCCUCUUCUCACCCCUCCCCCAUCCCCAUUCCCUCCCCUCCCCAAUUCAGUCCUCCUCUGAAGCCAAGUUCUUCUGGGGGAAGCACACACCCAAGAUGCGCAUUUAUGCCCCAGUGGGGGGGACUCAGCCUGCUUCUCCUCCAAGGAACUCUUGCACUUUGACAAAGAACUACUGCUGGGAACUUCGUGCACAUGGCCAUGAUUUUCAAGGACCUGAAUGCGAAGGCAGGAGGGGAGGACCUCUGAAUACCUUGGAGUUAGGGAGUUAGGGGGAUAGAGGUAUUUAGGUUAAAAAAAAGUCAUCAUGAUACCCCCAGUCCUCUCCCACAUCUCCACCAAGAAUUCUGGUGCCAAUAAAAAGAACGAAUAUUUACUGGCACUGGCGAUGGGGCAAGGCACAGAAGUAGGUGCUCUGUGGAUCUUUCCUCAUUUAACCAACAAACUUUUAUAGCAGGCAUCGCUUUUUCCAUAUUACUACUGAAGAAGUUGAGACUUAAAAAGGACAACUCAGUUGCCCAGUCUCACCACUUGUCAGCAAGGGGCGGCACCUGCCCCAUCCUCCCAGCACACCUGCCUCCUCACCUGCAGCCACGCCCACCCAGAGGCCACGUGGAACACACCAUGCAAGUGCAGAUGGAGAGACUGCCUCUUGCUUCUGAUGGGAAUCACAUUCUCAGCAGCUGAGGCAUUGCCAGGGGGCAAUAGCAUCUUUGCUUUGCUCUCCAGAGAACUCUUAAAUUCAGUUUUUACCAGUUAUCAAGAUGCUCCCGGCAGAUGAGUGAGGGAGAGAAGAGUAACAAGCUACGUUUUUAGCAGCUGAAGUUGAUAGCUGCCCGGCCCACGAAUCUAUAUUGGCCGGACCUGGAGCCAUGGACUAAUUCUGUGAGGAAGUAGCUAGAAGAACUUGCUUCGAAUCUAUAUUGGCCGGACCUGGAGCCAUGGACUAAUUCUGUGAGGAAGUAGCUAGAAGAACUUGCUUCAGGAAUGUUUCCCCUGUUCCAAUAGUAUUUUAGUUCUUUAUCAAAUUCCAACUUUAUCCGAUGGCCUUGGCCAUGGUGAAAAUGGGAUUAUGUUUAUCUCUGCUAUUUCAGAUGGACUGGCAGGAGUCCCUUCAAUAAAAUCAAGAUGGCAGAGAGGCUGUCUUUUUGGACUCUUCAUCCUGACCCGAAGUCAAGUAGAGGCCAGCUCAGCUCACUCCUGCCUGCUCCCAAUAAAGAUAGUGAGAAAGACAGGAGGUAGGGCUGGGGUGGUGAUGGAGGAAUGGAACAGGGGAGGGAGGAGGAGGAAAAGGGGGAGGAGGAGGAAGAAGGGGAGGGGGAGAAGCCAGCUGCUUCCUAGCUCUUCAACUGAUGGACCAAGUGAAGCCCCUUCCUCCCUGUGGAGAGUGGGAAUCACUCCCCGCCCUGUGCCCCCACAGUGGACAGCAGCUGGGCCUUGCUCCGGAAGCUGGACUGGCUCUGGCCAAGGGCAGCCUGCAUCAGCACUCUUCUGGAAAGCAGCAAGGGGCUCACAACCCAGACUCGGGCUUGGAAUUGGGACUUGUUUUCCACUCCUCCCUGCCAGGGCCCCUCCAUCAUAAUCCUGGACACCCCUGCAGAGUCCGCCCCGCCUGUCUGUGAAGAGCUGGCUGGCGGAGGCCGAUUUCAUGGGGCUCUGAGAGCGUGGGCCAGCAGAAAGCAGGGCAAGAGCUGCAGCCGUCCUUGUUGCUGGCAGCUGAGCUGGGCUCUGAACUGCUUCCCAGAUGGAAAACACGCCACUGCCGGGCAGCUUCAUAAGACCACCAGCUUGGCUUCAGGUGCAGGCUGCGGAGGGUAAACAGCCAGCUCGCUUCACUCACCCCAAGAGGAGGCCUUCUUGCUGUAAUCCUGACCAUCCCAGGAGGAGGGGCGGGGGGCUGGAACCAGCACAGCUAAAGCGGAAAUAGAGGAGCAGCCACAUCAUGGGAACACAGAUAUUUUAUCCUCGAUUUUUAAAAAGUUGCUCUGCAAACUCUCCCCUUGCUGGCAGAAGUUUGCAUUUACACAAAGCUACCUCUUCUAGUCUGUGCUCCAGCAAAAUCUCUAAAG